This is a long non-coding RNA of Protopterus annectens (West African lungfish), 207 nucleotides long. RefSeq lists it as uncharacterized. The transcript has 3 exons. The record is from RefSeq and is a predicted model, not a curated record. Lineage: Eukaryota; Metazoa; Chordata; Ceratodontiformes; Protopteridae.
CUGGAUUGGAGAGGAGCAGCAUUAUGGUGAUCAAAGUUUAUAUCGCCUCUUCAUCUGGCUCUACAGCACUGAUGUUGAAAUAGUUCAGUAGACGUGCUCAUGCUGCUGAAAUGGAGAGACUGAGGGAAGCAAGUGAUUAAGAAAAAACAGCAAGAAAUAUUGGGAUUCAUGGAGUCUAACAAAAUAGAGUUUCGUGAGUGUGACAUU